Long non-coding RNA from Pseudophryne corroboree (corroboree frog), 546 nucleotides. RefSeq lists it as uncharacterized. The record is from RefSeq and is a predicted model, not a curated record. The transcript is spliced from 5 exons. NCBI's taxonomy places the organism in Eukaryota, Metazoa, Chordata, Amphibia, Anura, Myobatrachidae.
AGUUUUACAGCAGAUCUGACUAGAUGGGCUUCCCUUUGCAUAUCAUGGACUGGUAGGAUCAACUCAAUGAAAAUACACAAAGCUACUUGCUUUUCUUACACAUCUGAACCAGGAUCAUUGUCAAGACAAGGCUUGUCACAGCAAGAUGAAAGAGAGAACUUGGCUGGAUGUAUCUUUCCAUGAAUUUGAGAGUGCCAGGGCAACAAUAAUGAGACUGCAUAGAACUAUCCUGAUUUGUGGGCAUAUAGCAAAAGCUCCAUGCGAGUCAGACAUACGGGGAAGGACGUCGUCUAUGUACCUGGUAUCUGAUUGGCUGCCGGACCGCGAGCUUUGAUUGCCUCACGGAUCUGCGCCUAACUCAAGGUAGACACUGAGGGGCAGAAGAGGCGCAGGCUACGCACUCCUCAGGAAUCAGGAGCGAGAUCUUUAAGCCCCAGAAAGAAUAAGAUGAUGAAAAGCACCAUUGCCCUCCACAGUGCCAAAUAGUGAAACGUGAAUAUUAUAAGAAACACACUAUUGUGUAAGUAAAGAAGAAAGUGCACCUGC